This 253-nucleotide ribosomal RNA is filed under the name uncultured bacterium. Its description in RNAcentral is "partial 16S ribosomal RNA". It matches the Rfam family "Bacterial small subunit ribosomal RNA", at positions 524 to 776 of the family's 1533-position model. The record is from RNAcentral.
UACGGGGGGGGCAAGCGUUGUUCGGAAUUACUGGGCGUAAAGGGCUCGUAGGCGGCCAACUAAGUCAGACGUGAAAUCCCUCGGCUUAACCGGGGAACUGCAUCUGAUACUGGAUGGCUUGAGUUCGGGAGAGGGAUGCGGAAUUCCAGGUGUAGCGGUGAAAUGCGUAGAUAUCUGGAGGAACACCGGUGGCGAAGGCGGUUCUCUGGGCCUUACCUGACGCUGAGGAGCGAAAGCGUGGGGAGCAAACAGG